RNAcentral lists this long non-coding RNA (955 nucleotides) under Phascolarctos cinereus (koala). Its description in RNAcentral is "lncRNA (ENSPCIG00000032137.1)". Lineage: Eukaryota; Metazoa; Chordata; Mammalia; Diprotodontia; Phascolarctidae. The record is from RNAcentral.
AUUUGUAUGAACAUACUAGCCAAGUCUCUAAUAAGGUAGAGAUCUGAGACAAUUGUCUGGACAAUUUAGGCAAAAAGUCUAUAACUGAGAGAAAACUGAGCUUGAAUUAAUUAUCCAAAUUAGCUGUCUAUGUUAAUUGAACACACCAACUAAAUACUUGACUCUUCAUUUGACCUUUGUAGACACAACUUUUGGCACUUGCCAGCCCUCAUAAGCCUGACAAGAGAAGAAAGCAUAAGAGAUAAUGUGGCAGGUCUUCAUGCAGGAGAGACAUCAGAGAAUUGAGCUCCAAGGAAUCAGAAACACCGAGAAACCUGUUGCUGAGAUCCCGUCUACUGACUUGUCUGGAGAGUUCUCCAUCUGGCUCAAUAGCUGUGAUCAAGAAGGGGCAAGAACGUUUGGACUUCUACUUCUGAUGAGAACAGAAGUUUGCAGGUCGGAAUAUGAGGAGAUAAGAGAGAGAUGGAACUUCUGGGGAGUUGACUUUCUCCGAACCUGACUGUUGCACACCCUGAACCUUCGAAUAUUUCAUAUCAGGUCCCAGGGAGCACGUGGCCAUGGCCAUGGGCUGGUUUUUGGUAAACAGAAAGGGCAGUUUUUUUCUCUCAUCCACUUUCCAUGUGGCCCCUAGGAUGUUUAUUCCUGAGAGUGACUGAAGAUGAGGACUGGGUGGAAGAGGCAGGAUAGUCUUACUCAACUAUGAGAAUGUUUUCUAUGUCCUUUUAUGCUUUAUCAGGGUAAAAUCCAACCGGAUUCUCCAGUUUAUUAGUAAGGGAAUUAUUCGGGGUAGUUAAGGCAGAAUACCUUGACCAGUGAAAACUGUUUCCGAUGUAAUGAGAAGCGGCUGAGCGGAGUGGAAAUGGUGGGGGACCCGCUUGAAUUCUGCCCCGGACCCCUUAAGACCAACUGACAGCUUCGUUGAUAAUAAACACCUUGAAUUACGGAUUCCGGGGCA